This 108-nucleotide small nucleolar RNA is filed under the name Sorghum bicolor (sorghum). RNAcentral's name for it is "Plant small nucleolar RNA R71". It matches the Rfam family "Plant small nucleolar RNA R71". From Rfam's summary of the family: R71 is a member of the C/D box family of snoRNAs containing the C (UGAUGA) and D (CUGA) box motifs. Lineage: Eukaryota; Viridiplantae; Streptophyta; Magnoliopsida; Poales; Poaceae. The record is from Rfam by way of RNAcentral.
AUCCCAUGGUGCGGACAGGGCAGUGACAUACUCUUGCAUUCUCUCGCAAGCAUCGAGAAUGGAUUCCUCAGCUUGUUGUGUAAAACUAGAGAUUUUAUUAUAGAGAGC